Molecule: long non-coding RNA, 2357 nt
Filed under: Homo sapiens (human)
Lineage: Eukaryota; Metazoa; Chordata; Mammalia; Primates; Hominidae
Description: non-protein coding lnc-ECI2-10:1
Source: RNAcentral
GGAUGUAUAAACAGCCUGCAACUCACUCUUGUAACAAGCAGCCAAUCCCAGCAGCCGUACUUCAACCACUCACAGGCGGCCGACUGCUUGAACAGUGUUCAAAUAAGGCAGACUCCAGGCAGUAACCAAUUCAGCUGUUGCUGUACCUCACUUCCUCAGGGUGGAGACUCCGCACUGGGGAAGUCUGCAGGGGUGAUUUCAGCAGGGCAGUAUGAAGAUGCAGGGUGCACGGAGAGCACAGCAGACAGCUGAGGUGGAAUGGAGCCAAGAAGUGAUCUGGAAACAACCAUGACUGGGGGAUGACACUGACUCUGAGGUGUCCUGCUGCAGGUGGGGGUGGGAGAAAGAGCGGCCUUCCACUGAGGGAGCCGAGGGAAGUGGGGUCUCAGAGGGAUCUAGGAUCACCUUUUGGUCGGGAGGUGUGGGAAACACUCAGAAAACAGCAACCAGUUUGGUGGGUUUGAUUUUCUAAAAUCGUGUAGACGCCUACAAUUGUGUAACUGAUCAUGUGUCCCUUUAGGUGCUGGGGCUGGAGACAGCUUUGCAGCUAAAUUUGGGGCCCACCUCUGCGAAGUACAUAGACCUUUAUGGGUUUCCUGCGUUCAUUUUCCUCCUGCCCUUUUCUACCAUUAUUUUCCAUUUGCCUGGAAUUCAUUACUUAUUUUCAAAAUUUAUUUUAUCUGGGAUUAUAUGUAUCUUCCUAAGUUGCCCGAAACAUGUGUUUGGUACAGGGUAGAUUAUAAAUACAUUCACAUAAAAGAAUUCUUUACAUUACAAAAUGAUUCAUUAUAACCUUCUCUCCAAUGACUAAUUUCUCCAGUGCAUUGAAGAUAUUAUUCUGUUUAUAUGCCACUUUCCCAAAACACAUUUAUUAUAUAAGAGAAAUGUAUUUUUUAUUUGAUCUUAUUUUUGUUAUGUAAGUAACAGAAAAUUUUAAGGUAAGGAAAAAGAAAUAAAAUUUUAUAUAACCUCCUUAUGUUAAAUUGAACCUGGUUUUUAGCACAGUUGCAUGUAGAGCCGUCUGAUAAAUGAUAGAAAAAUUUAGUAGAUUUGGGGAGUUUGGUUUUGAUGUUGAUUGAGGACUGAGUAAAGAUUCAAUGCCUGACAACGUGUGGCUUGUAGAUUAAUAGCUCUGAUUGUUGCAUGUAUCAGAUAAAAUGAUCAGGAAAUCUGAGCAUCUCUUCUGGUGGUUAAGAGCCAAAACUGUUUAUAGAUGUUUAUUUGAAAAAAAAUUCAAAGGCUUUCACUCUCAUUUUGUUCUCUACAGGGUGUUAUUUUACUUGUUGCAAUGCAUCUCCAUACAUCUCUCUUAAAAUACUAUUUUUUUUUUAAACUCUAAGUUCUGGGAUACAUGUGCAGAAUGUGCAGGUUUGUUGCAUAGGUCUACAUGUGCCAUGUGCCAUGGUGGUUUGCAUAAGAACAUGUAGUGUUUGGUUUUCUGUUCCUGGGUUAGUUUGCUGAGAAUGAUGGCUUCCAGCUUCAUCCAUGUCCCUGCAAAAGACAUGAACUCAUUCUUUUUUAUGGCUGCAUAGUAUUCCAUGGUGUAUAUGUGCCACAUUUUCUUUAUCCAAUCUAUCAUUGAUGGGCAUUUGGGUUGGUUCCAAGUUUAAAAGACUAAUUUCUUAAGGAUAGAGAGUCUCUCUGUUAUGUCCCACAAUGCCAAGUACAGAAGACUCUUCAGCUGGUGAAUUUGGUUCUCUAGAUCGAUAUCUUAACACAUGACACUGGCAUGUUGGAGCCAGCGUGCUUACAGAAAUUUACUAGGAAACUACCUGGAAUGUGGAAUUUACUCUCUGAUUCCGUAGACCCAUCUGCCUUCAAAUGUUUGUCAGUUGCCUCUUUGGGUUCUCUGCUGCCUUUUUAGUUCAUCAAUUUGUUUAGUACUUUCGGAAUUGAUGUUGUCUGGCUGGUCAAGAUGUGAAGUUUUUAAAAUUUCUUUCUCCCCCUCCUUCAUAAUUUCCACUGGGAAAUUUUGUAAUUUUCAGGACUUGAGGGGCUUGCGUUUUGCUUUGCUUUAGCAACAAAUGUAAUCACCAAAUCCCCAAAGCAGAAACAUGAGGAACUGAGCAAAAAUUCUGAGCAGUCUCUAAGUUAAGGGUAUGAUGAUCAGGUGACUAAUGAAGAACAUGAGUUCUGAAACCCUGUCUUGUUGUUCAAAAAUAGGUAUGGAAAUGUGGUGGAUGUUCUUUCUAAGAGAAAAACCUACAUCAUUAAGAAAGCCAGACUGGCAGGGCGUGGUGGCUCAUGCCUGUAAUCCCAGCACUUUGGGAGGCCGAGGCAGGCACAUCACGAGAUCAGGAGAUGGAGACCAUCCUGGCUAACACGGUGAAACCCCGUCUCUAUUAAAAGAUACAAAA